UACGUAGGGUCCGAGCGUUGUCCGGAAUUAUUGGGCGUAAAGGGCUCGUAGGCGGUUUGUCGCGUCGGGAGUGAAAACUCAGGGCUCAACCCUGAGCGUGCUUCCGAUACGGGCAGACUAGAGGUAUGCAGGGGAGAACGGAAUUCCUGGUGUAGCGGUGGAAUGCGCAGAUAUCAGGAGGAACACCGGUGGCGAAGGCGGGUCUCUGGGCAGUAACUGACGCUGAGGAGCGAAAGCGUGGGUAGCGAACAGG
Molecule: ribosomal RNA, 253 nt
Filed under: uncultured bacterium
Lineage: Bacteria
Description: partial 16S ribosomal RNA
Rfam family: Bacterial small subunit ribosomal RNA
Source: RNAcentral